This 519-nucleotide ribosomal RNA is filed under the name uncultured bacterium. RNAcentral describes it as "partial 16S ribosomal RNA". It matches the Rfam family "Bacterial small subunit ribosomal RNA", at positions 355 to 857 of the family's 1533-position model. The record is from RNAcentral.
UGGGGAAUAUUGCACAAUGGGCGCAAGCCUGAUGCAGCCAUGCCGCGUGUGUGAAGAAGGCCUUCGGUUGUAAAGCACUUUCAGCGAGGAGGAAGGUGGUGAGCUUAAUACGCUCAUCAAUUGACGUUACUCGCAGAAGAAGCACCGGCUAACUCCGUGCCAGCAGCCGCGGUAAUACGGAGGGUGCAAGCGUUAAUCGGAAUUACUGGGCGUAAAAGCGCACGCAGGCGGUUUGUUAAGUCAGAUGUGAAAAUCCCCGGGCUCAACCUGGGAACUGCAUUUGAAAACUGGCAAGCUAGAGUCUCGUAGAGGGGGUAGAAUUCCAGGUGUAGCGGUGAAAAUGCGUAGAGAUCUGGAGGAAUACCGGUGGCGAAAGGCGGCCCCCUGGACGAAGACUGACGCUCAGGUGCGAAAAGCGUGGGGAGCAAAACAGGAUUAGAUACCCCUGGUAGUCCACGCUGUAAAACGAUGUCGAUUUUGGAGGUUGUGCCCUUGAGGCGUGGCUUCCGGAGCUAAACG